Molecule: unclassified non-coding RNA, 163 nt
Filed under: uncultured Sordariomycetes
Lineage: Eukaryota; Fungi; Ascomycota; Sordariomycetes
Description: sequence contains ITS1
Source: RNAcentral
UCGAGUUACCAACUCCAAACCUUUGUGAACCUACCACUGUUGCUUCGGCGUCCGCCCCGGGGCGCGGCUCCUCCUGGAGCAGUGACCCGGAUGGCCAGGUGGGCGCCGGGGGACCAAAACUCAGUAUCUUAUAGUGGACUUGUGAGUGGAAAAAAGCAAAUCA